RNAcentral lists this ribosomal RNA (437 nucleotides) under uncultured bacterium. Its description in RNAcentral is "bacterial SSU rRNA". It matches the Rfam family "Bacterial small subunit ribosomal RNA", at positions 341 to 792 of the family's 1533-position model. The record is from RNAcentral.
ACGGGAGGCAGCAGUGGGGAAUAUUGGGCAAUGGAGGCAACUCUGACCCAGCAAUGCCGCGUGAGUGAUGAAGGUCUUUUGAUUGUAAAGCUCUUUUCUUGGGAACGAAGAUCUGACGGUACCCAAGGAAUAAGCCCCGGCUAACUACGUGCCAGCAGCCGCGGUAAUACGUAGGGGGCAAGCGUUGUCCGGAAUGACUGGGCGUAAAGGGUGUGUAGGCGGUUAGGUAAGUUAGAUGUGUAAUACCCAGGGCUUAACUCGGGUGCUGCAUCUAAAACUGCCUGACUUGAGUGCUGGAGAGGAUAGUGGAAUUCCUAGUGUAGCGGUGGAAUGCGUAGAUAUUAGGAGGAACAUCAGUGGCGAAGGCGACUAUCUGGACAGUAACUGACGCUGAGGCACGAAAGCGUGGGGAGCAAACAGGAUUAGAUACCCUGGUA